Molecule: non-coding RNA, 81 nt
Organism: Podarcis lilfordi (Lilford's wall lizard)
Lineage: Eukaryota; Metazoa; Chordata; Lepidosauria; Squamata; Lacertidae
Source: the annotation of a GenBank genome assembly
GGGGGUGUAGUUUAGUGGUAGAACAUCUACUUCGCAUGCAGAGGAAGGUCCUAGAUUCAAUUUCUGUGCUAGGCAUUUUCA